ACCUCUUCAAGUAAAAAGCACGUAGGGCACUUCCCGCGUGGCUGGCGGUCUCUCUCUCGGGCCAAGAGACGCAGCAGGAGGAAGCGGUGGGGGCGCAGGGCGGCGCGGAGCCCAAGGUGCAGGGACCCGCCGAGGGCAGAGGCACCGGGCACCCGGGGGCGGGUCUGGAGCGGGGCCACACCGGGCAGCGGGGCCACCGGGCGGCGGGCAGGAGGCGGGGAGGCCGGGUCCGUCCCCCUCUCGCUCACCUCCCCGCGGGCACCUCCCCGGGCUGCACCCCGCUCGCCGCCCUCCGGCCCCUGCCGCCGGCUCGUGAGGAUCUGGGGGCACCCGAGGGCGGCCGGACCGGGGCCGCCAGGAGCAGGGCAGGGAGACGGCCUGGGCGCGGCACCGGGCCGGGAGCCUCGAGAGGCGCGGCCGGGGGCGGGACGGCGCCCCGGAUGCCACCCACGGGGCCGAGCCGAGACGUGCGGGCGGAGACGGAGAGGUGGCCGCGGGGACCCGAGGCGCGGGGACUGGGACGGAGCCCUCGGGGGGCCGGAGGGGGACGAGAUUCCCGCUCCUUCUGAGUCCAAAGGGCUCCGCCCGGCGGACACGGUCCCUACACCCGCGUGUCAGGCCGCCUCGGGCCACGCAGCGAGGGGUGACCGACCGGGGGCCGGAAGGGGGGACAGGGAGGGUGCGGGGCCACUGCGGGGCGGACACGGAGGGGGCGGGACUUCCCCGCCGCGCUGUCCGAGCUCCUCUCAGAUGACCGAGGCCCCGACGGGAACCCGCAGGGCCGGCUGCGGGGUCGCGGGGGUCCCGGGGCGCCCUCCUGGUCCUUUCCCGGCAGCAGACGGGCGAGGCCGCGUCGGGCGCCGACCCUCCGGCAGCGCGGCCGUCCGGGAGGGAGGGCACAGGGCCGCGGGGCCGCCGCACGUCGCCCCGUCCCCGGGGAGGAGCACGGCCCGCGCAGCCCCGUCCGCCCGCACGCAGGAGCCCUUUUGUUCGGCCCGCGCCCUUCGGAACCCCCGGCCCCGCCCCCGCCCGUCGGCGGCCUCG
Molecule: long non-coding RNA, 1044 nt
Filed under: Canis lupus familiaris (dog)
Lineage: Eukaryota; Metazoa; Chordata; Mammalia; Carnivora; Canidae
Description: lncRNA (ENSCAFG00845006507.1)
Source: RNAcentral